Molecule: ribosomal RNA, 203 nt
Filed under: Sufflamen chrysopterum (halfmoon triggerfish)
Lineage: Eukaryota; Metazoa; Chordata; Actinopteri; Tetraodontiformes; Balistidae
Description: partial 16S ribosomal RNA
Source: RNAcentral
GGCCUAACAGCUAGCCUACUCACAUAAAAUCAACAACCAAACAUAAAUAACCCCAUAAGCACUACAAAACAAAAACAAACCAUUUUUCCACUCUAGUAUAGGUGAUAGAAAAAGACCAUAGAGCAAUAGAAAAAGUACCGCAAGGGAAAGCUGAAAGAGAAAUGAAACAACCCAGUCAAGCUAGGUAAAGCAGAGAUCAACCU